GGCGGGUCACCAGACACAUUUUUAAAACUAGAUACCCCAAUGAUGAUUAUGGCCAAGUUUGGUUAAAUUUGACCCAGUAGUUUCAGAGGAGAAGAUUUUUCUAAAAGAUUACUAAGAUUUACGAAAAAUGGUUAAAAAUUGACUAUAAAGGGCAAUAACUCCUAAAAUGAUCAACUGACCAUUUUGGUCAUUUGACUUAUUUGUA
This 205-nucleotide long non-coding RNA is filed under the name Mytilus galloprovincialis (Mediterranean mussel). The record is from RNAcentral. Lineage: Eukaryota; Metazoa; Mollusca; Bivalvia; Mytilida; Mytilidae.